UGCAGUCGAGCGCCCCGCAGGGGGAGCGGCAGACGGGUGAGUAACGCGUGGGAAUCUACCCAUCACUACGGAAUAACUCCGGGAAACUGGAGCUAAUACCGUAUACGUCCUUCGGGAGAAAGAUUUAUCGGUGAUGGAUGAGCCCGCGUUGGAUUAGCUAGUUGGUGGGGUAAUGGCCUACCAAGGCGACGAUCCAUAGCUGGUCUGAGAGGAUGAUCAGCCACACUGGGACUGAGACACGGCCCAGACUCCUACGGGAGGCAGCAGUGGGGAAUAUUGGACAAUGGGCGCAAGCCUGAUCCAGCCAUGCCGCGUGAGUGAUGAAGGCCCUAGGGUUGUAAAGCUCUUUCAACGGUGAAGAUAAUGACGGUAACCGUAAAAAAAGCCCCGGCUAACUUCGUGCCAGCGGCAAACUCCGUGCCCGGCGGGGCGGGGGGAGAUAAGC
This 445-nucleotide ribosomal RNA is filed under the name uncultured bacterium. Its description in RNAcentral is "bacterial SSU rRNA". It matches the Rfam family "Bacterial small subunit ribosomal RNA", at positions 56 to 518 of the family's 1533-position model. The record is from RNAcentral.